RNAcentral lists this non-coding RNA (499 nucleotides) under Streptomyces venezuelae ATCC 10712. RNAcentral's name for it is "Bacterial small subunit ribosomal RNA". It matches the Rfam family "Bacterial small subunit ribosomal RNA", at positions 9 to 463 of the family's 1533-position model. The record is from Rfam by way of RNAcentral. Lineage: Bacteria; Bacillati; Actinomycetota; Actinomycetes; Kitasatosporales; Streptomycetaceae.
GAGUUUGAUCCUGGCUCAGGACGAACGCUGGCGGCGUGCUUAACACAUGCAAGUCGAACGAUGAAGCCCUUCGGGGUGGAUUAGUGGCGAACGGGUGAGUAACACGUGGGCAAUCUGCCCUUCACUCUGGGACAAGCCCUGGAAACGGGGUCUAAUACCGGAUAACACCGGCUUCCGCAUGGGAGCUGGUUGAAAGCUCCGGCGGUGAAGGAUGAGCCCGCGGCCUAUCAGCUUGUUGGUGGGGUAAUGGCCUACCAAGGCGACGACGGGUAGCCGGCCUGAGAGGGCGACCGGCCACACUGGGACUGAGACACGGCCCAGACUCCUACGGGAGGCAGCAGUGGGGAAUAUUGCACAAUGGGCGAAAGCCUGAUGCAGCGACGCCGCGUGAGGGAUGACGGCUUCGGGUUGUAANNNUGGUGGAGUCGCCGUUGAAAUACCACUCUGGUCGUGCUGGAUGUCUAACCUCGGUCCGUGAUCCGGAUCAGGGACAGUGUCU